This 235-nucleotide ribosomal RNA is filed under the name uncultured bacterium. RNAcentral's name for it is "partial 16S ribosomal RNA". It matches the Rfam family "Bacterial small subunit ribosomal RNA", at positions 96 to 334 of the family's 1533-position model. The record is from RNAcentral.
UGGUGGACGGGUGAGUAAUGUCUGGGAAACUGCCUGAUGGAGGGGGAUAACUACUGGAAACGGUAGCUAAUACCGCAUAACGUCGCAAGACCAAAGAGGGGGACCUUCGGGCCUCUUGCCAUCGGAUGUGCCCAGAUGGGAUUAGCUAGUAGGUGGGGUAACGGCUCACCUAGGCGACGAUCCCUAGCUGGUCUGAGAGGAUGACCAGCCACACUGGAACUGAGACACGGUCCAG